RNAcentral lists this long non-coding RNA (6445 nucleotides) under Arachis ipaensis. RNAcentral's name for it is "long non-coding RNA (AIPA_LNC002545)". Lineage: Eukaryota; Viridiplantae; Streptophyta; Magnoliopsida; Fabales; Fabaceae. The record is from RNAcentral.
AUAGAAUAAGUUGGAUUGUUUGUUGUAUUUAAUGAUUAGCCUUGUAAUGUUGUUAGAAUAGAUUUGUUAGUGAAUUUAUAUAUUAGAAUUAUGAGGUGUGAAAGUUAUUAAUGGUGUGCUCUUAUAUUUAUUUAUGAUGGAUUAGAAUUAGUGUUUGUUAAUAAGGAUGUAGAGUUGUGUUGUGGUGGUAUUGUAUAUGCUGUAACUAAUUAUGUAAUGAUCGGAAUUGCAUGAGACCAAGUUUGGGCUAAACUUGGGAAUAUAAGGAACUAAACUGGAAAAUUUGGGACCUUUUUGUUAAAUAUACAAUUUAUGGCAAAUUUUUAAAGUUAGGUUGUUAAAUCUGUCGAGCAGCAGAAAAGAUCAAACAGGGCAGCAACUUGUUUGUCUUGCUGUGACUUCUACGAGUUGAGUUUUGGAGCAAAACCAAUUUUGUUAUAAAAUUUGAUUAACUUGCUUUAUUUCUCUAAAAUUUCAGAAUUUUAGGAGUUGAGGAUUGGGAGCUGUGAAUUUUUGAAUAUUGGUGGGCAAAACUGAAAAGAAACAGAUUUCAGCAAGCUAUGCAUCAACUUCCAAUGCUUGUAACUCUUAGAAUUAAAUAGAAAUUAGGUUGCAACUAAGACACACUUAUUUCUAGAUGAGCUAGGGGUUCUCAAAUCAAAAAUUUAGCUUAAUUGGAGUUUUGUAAUAAAAGUUAUUCCAAUUGAAAGGUACUAAGCUUGUUGGUUUUUAAAACAGAUUUUGUCUCAUUUUUACUUAACUUCCAGGUAAUGUAACUUUUUCAUUAAAAAUGGUAUUGACUCAGAACUAAAUGAGAAAGAAACCUGGAUGAGUAAAGUUUAACUACAUUAAUUUUCAAAGUCAUUGGAUUUAACUUGGAUUUUAUAUUGAAUUUUGAAUAUCACAUGCUGCUGCUGUUUUUCUGGUUUUAUGCACUGCAGAGCAGUCACGGUUUUUCCUUUAUUCCUGAGGAUAGAAAAAUCAGAAAAUUAUGAUGUUUAGUUUAUUAGAAAGCUUAUUUCAAUAUGAACACCUGGACAUAAAGUUUGUGCAAUUCCGAGUUCAUUUGCUAUAUUAGAAACAGAAAAGAAAAUAGAGUGUCGAGGAUGUCUUAGUGAUAGUCAUGAGUUCGAGAAGUUAAAGUUCAAUCCUCGUGUGAUGUGAUUGAUUUAAUGUUAGAGUUGGGUUGAUUUUAAGAGUAUUCGAUAUUAAGAAGGAUGAGAAGAGUUUGAUAGAAAGUUUGGUCAGGACCCGGAAAGGGUAAUCAAGAUGAAUUAUAAGGGAAUGACGAUGAAAAAUGUGAAAGGGAGGUUGUUAAUAAAAGGAGUUAAUAUGCCAUGGCUUGAUGAAUGAUUAAAUAAUGAUUAUGACUAUGAAAUGGCUUAUGAAUAAUGCUAUCUGAGAUACGAGUUCCCUGGGUAAGAGCCGUGGCUCGCCAUCACGUGUUCCAGGUUGAAUCUCGAUACUCUGUUGACUCUACGUCGUAAGGGUGACCGGGCACGUAUAAAUUCCCGGGUAUGGAUAGCCCCAUUGAGUGAUUUUAUGAAAUAUGAAUGUGAACUCUAUGCAUAGACUCUUGGGAUGCGCGACGGGAGACAGUCUAAGGUUUUCGGACUUGUCGGGUUGGUUGGAUAACCGACAGAUGGGCCCCAUCAGCCAUAGGACAGGCAUGCAUCAUAUGCAUUUGUUUGUAUUGAUUGCUAUGCAUUUUCUGGGUAUGCCUAAUUGAUAUAUAUUACCCGCUAUUUGUUAUACUUGCUAUUUGUACUAUUUGAUCAUUACUUGUGCGUGAACUUGUUUGGUUGCUUGUUUCUGUUGCAUUCUGAAUGAUGAAAGGAUGGAGGAAACGAAGGAAAUGGUUUGGUGUUAGGUUAAUCUUGAACUUGAGUAAGUUAGGCAGAUUUAGAAUACCUACCCCUGUUUAUGGCUUCUGUUUAGUACUUAAGUUGGAUAAGUGAAUAACGGAGUUCUAGGAUUGCCUAUGGCAUUCUCAGGACCGUAUUUCUUAUGCGCGUGGCACUUUUACCAUGCUGAGAACCUCCGGUUCUCAUUCCAUAUUGUAUUGUUGUUUUUCAGAUGCAUAAACUAGAGAUAUUGAGACUGAUCACCUUGAUAUCACUUGUUUGGUGUGAAUAGAAACCAAAUGGCGUCUCGUGGGCUCGGUAGUGAGCGUAAUCGAGGUCAAGGAUGGAGAGCUAAUGAAGUAACCAUACCAAUAGAUAGUUUGACCGAUAUCGUGACCGCAAUGACGAGUGUUGCUGCUGCCAUUGGUACUGUUGCGGCCGCGACCAUCCGAGUAAUGGGUGGAAUGGAACCACAAGCUGGAACUGGCAACAAUGAUGAUAAUGAAUAUGAAGGUGGACAUAAUGCUCCGAAUACAGGGGUACCACUUAGUUAUCUGGAGCAGGUUAAUGUGGGUCAGACAAUAGGAGAAAGCUCAAGGAGGGCUGAGGUAGCAAGAAGUAAUCAUCGAGAACCCUUCACAAAGAAAAAGGGAAAGAUUACACCGAGGAGCUAAACUUUCAAAAAGAAUCGCUUUGUCGCUUCACAUUCUCAGCACUGGAGCAAUGACCGAAGGAACGAUAACCGUUCGGAUCCGAAUGCUAAAGGGAAAACUAGUACCCAACUGGAUGAUUUAAGGUGCCCAAGGUGCAAGAAGUACCAUCCAAACAGACCGUGCAGGGCCGGAUUAGGCGUAUGUUACAAGUACGAGAAGUCGGGGCAUAUAGCUCGAGACUGUCCACACAAGAAACGCCAGGAUGCAGUCGAAUCCGAUCUUCAGACCCGAGGUAAUCAUAAGCUAGCAGUUGAGUUUUUAACUACCUUGCGUAUCAUUAAUAUAUGUAUGAUCCAUUUGUGAAGCACGACAAGUUUUGAUGAUCGCGGAGUCCGAACCGAUGGUUAGUCGAAGACUACUAGUUAUUAAGAUGGAGCGAUACUUAACUAACUUAGAUGAGUGACUAGGUUCUUAAAGGAUGAGAGUCAGAAUAAUGCAGUAGAAUCAGGGUGGUUAGACUUUUGAAGGUUAAGGAUUAAGUGACGUAGUGGAAGCAGGUUGGACCAUAUCUAAGGAAUCAGAAGUGUUGAGGGUUAUGCGGAGUUAUUGUUUGGAAUUUAGUGACGGUGAAACUUUGAGGAAGAGGAGUAGAGCGAACACAACCUUUAGAUGUUAAUUGUUCAGAGGUAAGUGGAGAUGAAACCAAAUCUCUAUACGAGAGAGUUUCUAAGACAAUUCUUGAAGGUGUGUCAAAACUUCCAUUCCAGAGAGAAAGCGAGUUUGCGAUAGGCUUAGUAUCGGAAACCGGAUUAACUUCAAUUGCACCACAAGUGAAGACAUCAUUAUAACCGGUAGAAUUUAGGAUUGAGUGGAAGGGAGUACUAGAAGAGGGAAUCACCUAACCAACUAUUUCUUUGUGGGAAGCAUCGGUUAUGCUGGAGAAGAGGGAAGAGAACGGUAGGAAACCUUAUGCAGAGAGAGUGUGCUAACGAACCUUCGCGACUCGAUCUAAUCCUUCUUUUGAAACCUACAUUGACAUUCGAUUGAUUCCUUAAGAGCAUGACUUUUGGAUACGGAAGAUGAAGCAGGUAAGCGUGCACCGUCAAAAAGAGUUUUGGAGUUUUAAAUUCUUGUCGACCACAAAGCCUAUGAUUAGUUUAAUGCGCUAGAAAUACACCGGUUACAUAGAUAUCCGAAUAUGAAGAGAGCUUUCAAACUCCAAGAGAAGGAUUAACCCUAAAUCCAGUAAUUAGAAUACCCGAACUUAUUUAACAACUCGGAAUUAGUGCGAUACAUUACCAGAGGGGUUUAGGAUACGUGUAAAUACAACAUUGUGAAGUGGUAACAGAUGCCCUGAGUAAGAAAUUUUUGGGGAAAUGCUUGGAUAUAAAUUUCGGAGAAUGGAAGGCUAGAUAAGUUGGAACUUUAAAUUGGAUAUUAAGGGUAUAGAUAAAGGAGUCAAACUAAAUCUAUUGCGGUUUUAAAACAUAGCAAAGACGAAAUGCAGGAAGCGUGAGGGAACGAUAAAGACCUACCGAGGAUGUCAAAGUCUGGCAAACGAAAGGGAACUAAGAAAAGAUUUAUAUGUUUAAUGUCGAAAUAGAGAUUGUAAAGUCAAAGACUUAAGGAGUGCAAUAACGGUGAUAAGGGGCUACUAAGAGUACUGAAACCGGUUGAAUCCAGAAGACACCAAGAGAGGGUUAUGUGUUGAGGUCGGAAGUUGAAAUAAGAAACUGUUGUUCGAAGCUUACAGGAGAAAAUUUUUGAAGUUACCUUGAGAUUUCUAAAACCUACCACGAAUCAAAGAAGAUAUUUUGAGCAGACAGAAAUGAAGGACGAGGUGGAAAUCUAUGUGAUUACAAGUUUGACGUAUGAGAAAGAAAUGAAAGACCACCAGAAACUGUUCGAAAUGCCACAACCGUCGAAGGUUCUACAUUAAAGAUAAAAGGGAAUAGCCAUUGAUUUCAUAAUAGGUUACCGAAGACUAGGACAAAAGGUGAUACUGUUAGGGAACUGUGGAUCAAGCGACCAGGCCCAUUUUGCCCAUCGGAGUAAACCACUUAUUGGGGAUAUCAAAGAGACUAUACAUCAGGGAGAAGGUGAGACUUCACAGUAUGCUAAACACCUUUGAAUUAACCGAAAACUGGAAUGUCAAACGUCUUAGUUCCUGAAUUUGACAGCCGAAACAACAGAGGAAGAGUUACGCAAAUCUAAGUUAGAAUUCUCACUAUGACAGCCGACAAAAGAGUUAGGUGGAUCUAAGAAGAAGACUUCUCAAGUUGGAAGGAAGGGGAUACCUAUUUUUGAAGAUCACUUCAAUGAACUAGAAUCGGAUGAUCAAUCAAAAACUAAAAAGCUUAAUGCCUAUCACAUCGGACAAGUGGCGUAUAGGAUCGCUUUACUAUCACAUUGUUCGAACCUGCAUGACGUGUUUCAUAUAUCGCAGCUUCGUAAAUACAAUUUUGAUCCUAGUCAUGCCCUAAAGCCGGAAUUAGUUCAAGUGAGAGAAGAUCUGACGUUUUUAAUAACUCUCAUUAGAAUUGAUGAUACCAGCAUUAAGCGUUUACACGGGAAAGAGACUUUCUUAGUGAAAGUAGCUUGGUGUUGGGCUAGUAUUGAAGAAUAUACCUAGGAGCUUGAGACAGAGAUGAGGAAGGACUACCCACACCUCUAUUCAGGUAACGCACUCUGAAUUUUGAGGACAAAAAUCCUAAUUAGGUGGGUAGGAUGUAAACCCCGCUAAAAUCGGUAUAUAAUUAGUCAAUAAAUCAAAUUUUCAAUAGGAAAAUUAAAUAUGCAAAACAAAUAUCAAAAUAGGAUAGAGCUCGGCAAAACGAGAAUUUUGAUAUCACUUUCGAAAAAUUUGGCCCAAAAUUGAGCCGAAUGGGCUGAGCCGGUUGAACCGGGCCCAAAUCAGGCCCGUGGGCCCAACCAGCCCAGUAUAUAAAUGAGCUAAAGCCCAUUUUCUGCCUUAGAACACAACAGAAGCAGCGUAAAUGCAUGGAGAAGAAGAGAAUGAAUUCCAAAACCUAGCUUGAUCUUCUUUCUUUGAUAACUUUUGAUCCGGAGCUCCGAUUGACGAGCCGUUUACGGCCACGCGUCGGGCUCGUUGAGUUCUUCAAUUCUAUUCAAAUAAAACAGUAAGUGAAUCGCUUUUUCCUAGCUCCAUUUCUGCUGGUAUAUGAAUUUCGGGUUUAAGGUUUGAGAAACUCAAUUCCUUGAUGAUUUUCAUGUUUUAGGGGUCCACUAGACUUGAUUUCUUGUGGGUAUUGCCCAAGGAUCAGUGGAUAAAGGUAAGAGAUCUUAAACCCUAAUGAAAUUUCUGAAUUUAAGAAUUUGGGUAUUGAGUUGUUAAGUUUGGAUGUGUUAAUUGUGGUUUAGGUAGUGUGUAUGUGAAUGUUGAUGCUUGUUGGAGGCUUGUUGGUGAUCAAGCUUGGUUUGGGGCUGUUUGAUUGAGCUUGGAGGGGCUGUAAUUUUGAGUUGUGAGGCUGCCUUGGGUGAAUUAAGUGAUCGGCCAAGGUAUGAUUUAAGUUUCGCACGUUUAAUAUUUACGGUGUUGUGAAAACUUAGAUUAGAGGAACCAUAGAAUAAGUUGGAUUGUUUGUUGUAUUUAAUGAUUAGCUUUGUAAUGUUGUUAGAAUAGAUUUGUUAGUGAAUUUAUAUAUUAGAAUUAUGAGGUGUGAAAGUUAUUAAUGGUGUGCUCUUAUAUUUAUUUAUGAUGGAUUAGAAUUGGUGUUUGUUAAUAAGGAUGUAGAGUUGUGUUGUGGUGGUAUUGUAUAUGCUGUAACUAAUUAUGUAAUGAUCGGAAUUGCAUGAGACCAAGUUUGGGCUAAACUUGGGAAUAUAAGGAACUAAACUGGAAAAUUUGGGACCUUUUUGUUAAAUAUACAAUUUAUGGCAAAUUUUUAAAAUUAGGUUGUUAAAUCUGUCCAGCAGCAGAAAAGAUCA